Molecule: non-coding RNA, 24 nt
Filed under: Arabidopsis thaliana (thale cress)
Lineage: Eukaryota; Viridiplantae; Streptophyta; Magnoliopsida; Brassicales; Brassicaceae
Source: RNAcentral
UAACAAGGUAACACUACUUAGGCU